UGGUUGAUAAGUGGUGGAAUGUGGUGGUUAAGCAUCUCCAAGGAAGGUAGUCAUAUGGUAAAAAUUUCAGCUCAAGCAGAUCAAGGAAAAAUAUACUUGCUUCACAAAGUGCCAUUUGUGACCAGAAGAAAAAAUAAUUUCCUCAGCUGAAAUUUUCCAAAUGGCCAUGGGAUGUUUUUGCAUGGGGAGGUGAGACACGAUCCAAAGAAUAUUAGGGAAUUUUCUGAGAAAGAUAAAUGAAGGUUGCUUCAUAGCAUAGAAAGAAAAUGCUCAUUUUCAAAGAGAAAAUGUAUAUUUUCCUAUUAUG
Molecule: long non-coding RNA, 307 nt
Filed under: Hordeum vulgare
Lineage: Eukaryota; Viridiplantae; Streptophyta; Magnoliopsida; Poales; Poaceae
Description: long non-coding RNA (HVUL_LNC012764)
Source: RNAcentral